AUUCUAGAUCUGGAAAAAAAAGGGAGUUUAGACAAAAGCACAGGAAAGUGAAAUGUGAGAAAUAGGUGCAGUGUGUGUUCUGCAUGCCUACAUGUUGAAUGUGAAAAUGAUACCCCAGAAUGCAAGUGUCAGACUUUGCUAUUAGUGUCUUAGCCCACAGAAAUGUGUACAUGUUCCCUGUUUCAAUGAGCGAAAUUCAGCCCAUGAAUGACUUCAUGCUUAGCUCAUAAGUUGAGUCAGGUGUGGUAAGCAGAGUGAAAUGUAAACCACAUUGCUGUGGCACACUAGGACUGGAUCCUGACACUGAUUAGUUAGAAGUUCUCAUAUUUUAGGAACUUUAAUAAAGUUCUGAAAGAACACUCCUCUUUGUCUCACCUCAGGCCAAAACAUGUACUGAAAUCAUCUGGAUCACCACUGGUGAACCAUCUAGGACAAGGAGGUGUUGCUACUUGCCUGGUAUAGUGGACCAGAGCCAGCAUGACAGAGCUACAGGAAGUGUUGCCACCCCUUCAGCUUCAGAGUCCUGGGUUUGCCUGUAUGGCAUUCAUCUAGGUUCUUGUUUUCUCCCUCUAAUUUAAAAUUGCUCUUAGGUGUGAGUGAAUUUGUGAAUAUGUCUGAGCAUUGUGCCCUAUGACAAUUCAAAGCCAAAUUUUCCUGAUUUUGCACCCCAUGUUACCAGGAUAGUAACUGAAAUUGAAUGCCACAGUUAGUUCCUAGAGUAAAAGUAUUUUUUUACCAUUUUCUUUCUCACAAUUUGCUUACCUGACAGCUCCUACCCAUUCCCAUUAGCCAGCUCUCUCAAUCAUACAACAGCUCACAAGUGUUGUGAGGGUUAACACAUCAUUCCUGUUUAUCCUUUACUAGGCAACCAAACCAAAUUAUAGAAAAAAAAUCUGCCCUUUUGCAUUCAUAAGCUUAAUACUGUUAUAAUUAAGAGAGGAACAAGUGUAUGCCAUCCCUCCCUCCUAGUAUAGUUCUGCUAUUCCUUAUUAUUUUCCUGAAAGAAAGAAUACAUGAACAUAAAAGAAA
Long non-coding RNA from Silurus meridionalis, 1029 nucleotides. RefSeq lists it as uncharacterized. NCBI's taxonomy places the organism in Eukaryota, Metazoa, Chordata, Actinopteri, Siluriformes, Siluridae. The transcript has 2 exons. The record is from RefSeq and is a predicted model, not a curated record.